GACUGGAUCAAAGACGGAUUUAUUAUACAAUGGCCAGCAGAGACCCGAGUCCAGAUUCGAAGGCAGAGGAAGGAGGCUCAGAAAAGGAACAAUCUGCAGAAAAAAACAAGCCAGAGAAAAAUGCAGAACCCAAACAGGACAAAGGAGGUCUGCUCGCUGGAAUGUUCCGAAAAACACCCAAAGAGAAAUUAUCUUCUCCAGCAGUGAUGGUCAGUAAAGCAAACAGUGAUACCGAGCAUGCAGAAGAAGAAGGGAAAACAUCAGAACAGUCCAACGAAAAGGGAGGCUUCUUCUCUGGCAUCCUUAAAAAAUCCAACAAACCAGCAGAUGAGAUGUCUGCACAGGAGACUCUGAGUGCUCAUAGUGAUCUAUCUGCCAGCAGCGACAGUCUGUCUGAAAACAGGGAAAAAGGAAAAAUUUUUGGCGGGAUUUUCAAGAAGUCGCGGAAACCAGCAGAAGCCGCUCAAACCGAUGAGGACCAAGAGUCACUGCAUGGAGAUCUGUCCAGCAGCACUGUUAAUCUGAAUGAAGCUCCAUCGAAGGAGAAAGGUUUUUUCAGCGGCAUCCUGCGCAAAUCUCCUAAGAUUCCUGGAGAGGGGACACCUGGGCAGGAUAAAGAGUUGCAGUGGACUGACCUGUCAGCCAGCAGUGAGAGUCUGUCAGAGAACACCAAAAUAAGGGGGAAUGUUUUCAGUGCGAUGUUUAAGAAAUCUCCAAAACUGUCUGAAGGCUCCCGACUGGAAGAGGU
Long non-coding RNA from Amphiprion ocellaris (clown anemonefish), 748 nucleotides. NCBI's taxonomy places the organism in Eukaryota, Metazoa, Chordata, Actinopteri, Pomacentridae. The record is from Ensembl.